UUUCCGUAGGUGAACCUGCGGAAGGAUCAUUACCUAGCGAACGCCUGCCUGGGCCGGGCCUUCGGGUCUACGCACUAGCAGGUGUAUCCACAACCCGUGUUUACAUACUCUUGUUGCUUUGGCGGGCCGUGGUCUCCCACUACGGGCUCAGCUCGUACGCGCCCGCCAGAGGAUUAAACUCUGAAUAUUAGUGAUGUCUGAGAACUAUAUAAUAGUUAAAACUUUCAACAACGGAUCUCUUGGUUCUGGCAUCGAUGAAGAACGCAGC
This 268-nucleotide unclassified non-coding RNA is filed under the name uncultured fungus. RNAcentral's name for it is "sequence contains ITS1, 5.8S rRNA gene". The stretch from base 220 to 268 matches the Rfam family "5.8S ribosomal RNA", at positions 1 to 49 of the family's 154-position model. Lineage: Eukaryota; Fungi. The record is from RNAcentral.